Canis lupus familiaris (dog) is the source of this 606-nucleotide long non-coding RNA. RefSeq lists it as uncharacterized. The record is from RefSeq and is a predicted model, not a curated record. The transcript is spliced from 4 exons. NCBI's taxonomy places the organism in Eukaryota, Metazoa, Chordata, Mammalia, Carnivora, Canidae.
CUUAAUAUAUGAUAGCAGUGGAAGCAACAAAACUCAGUGAAGAAAAGGGUAUGAAAAAGAUCCCAUUUUGGAACUAAAGAAAGAGGAAUCAGGGGGAAAGUUUUGAAGAGAUCUGUCAUGGUGGGAAUCUGCAAUGAAGGGGGAAUCUCAGCCUUCCCACUCAAGGAGGUUUAUUCUGUUGGAAGGGCCUCUUAAAAUAAAUCUUGAAGGUUAGGCUGCACAUGGGUAAUCUGAGUUGGAGAGCUGCUUAUAAGGAAGACUCUAGAGUGGAGAGGAUCCUACAGCCAAGGUCAAAGUAAGAAGGGCGUUACACAAGUCAGCCUGGAGCAGCUUGGCCAGGUUAUCAGGUUUUUCCCCAGGAAACCAAAAGCUCUUUGGGCAUCAGGACAGCAGAGCAUGUAGUGAAAUCAUAGAUGGGUGUGAGAUAAGAGCUACUGAUGAGGAAGGUGCCAGGGUAAAUGCAUAUUGCUGAGCUUCACAGGGCACUGGUAUAAUGCUGGUACUAGUGAACGCAUUCUUCGUGGGUGCCUACCCUCUAGGAUCCAGGCUGACACAUGGCCUUUCCUGAAGGCCUAUGAGAAGGCCAGUCCCACUUUCCACUCAGAA